ACAGGAGAGAGAGAUGAGUUAGGCAGGCACCUGUGUGGUCCUUAGUGGCCUGAAGAAGCAUCUGUGGCCCCAUGGUAUCCAUGUUCCCUCUACCUUCAUUCUAGUGCUGAACAUUUCCAUUCCCUUUGUUUACCCAGAAAAAGUAACUCAGGUUUGCAAGGGCCUGGCGACUGGGAGAACUGGUUGGAAGAGACCUGCCUCUCCCAGUGCGGACACAUCACAACCUCCUUGAGCGUUCUCUGCCUCCUCUGUAAAAGGACAAAACCGUACUGUGCCCUUGAGUGGGCGCACUUUGUGAGUAACCUGCCCCUGGCCAAGAAGCUGACGCUUUCUGCUUGCAGAGGCCCCCAAACGCCACACCUGAAUCCCAAUUGAAUCACUAAGAACAGGAGAAAAUGGCACCAGGAAGCAUGUUCAGAACGUUAGGACUGGAUACACAGAAUCAGGUGGAUGAGUACUACCUGUGUUCGAGCUCAGCUAUGCCCGCGGAGGAGCUUUCUCUUCCCACCUGCCCAUGAGGCACAGAAAAGUCAGAACAGUUUGCCUUCACAUGGGAAAGAUGGCAAUGGACUUUCACUGUCCUUCUACAAGGAUACCUUCACAGCCCCACCAUCAGUCAUGGACUUGUAGCCCAGGACUUGGCUACAUGGGAGAAACUGCCAACGGUGCAGCUGUACCAUUAUAUUGAUGAUGUCAUGUUCACAUCUGAU
Long non-coding RNA from Manis javanica (Malayan pangolin), 710 nucleotides. RefSeq lists it as uncharacterized. Lineage: Eukaryota; Metazoa; Chordata; Mammalia; Pholidota; Manidae. The record is from RefSeq and is a predicted model, not a curated record.